GAAUAUUAGUCAAUGAUUGAAAGAUUGAUCUAGUUACUUAGAAAGAUGAAGAUUAUAAAACCAAUAAAAUAAAAAAAUAAUAAUGAAGAAUAUAAAAUCAAUGUAUAUAUAAAUGAAUAAUGAUGAUUAUAUAUAUAGAAGUCUUAACCAAAAUUAGUGCCAGCAGUUGCGGCUAAACUAAGGAGGCAAACGUUAAUCAUUAAUGGCUUAAAGGAUCCGUAGAAUGAUAUGUAAAUAUACAUAUUAGAGUUAAAUUGAAUAAUUAUGAAAAAUUAUAUUGAGAGAUGAAAUGUGUGGAAAAUAAUUAGACAAAUAAACGUGAAGAUAAAAUUAAAAAUUUAACUGACAUUGAGGGAUGAAGGCAUGAUUAGCAAAACGGAUUAGAUACCCGAGUAGUUCAUGCAGUAAACGAUGAAUACCCCCCACGCAAAUGCGUGGGCAAGUGAAAACUUAAGUAUUCCGCCAGGAGAGUAUAGCUUCAAAGUUGAAAUCCAAGACAAUAGACGGUUACAGUUGUAGGCAGUGGAUUGUGUUAUUUAAU
Molecule: ribosomal RNA, 541 nt
Filed under: Pichia sp. NRRL Y-27261
Lineage: Eukaryota; Fungi; Ascomycota; Pichiomycetes; Pichiales; Pichiaceae
Description: partial small subunit ribosomal RNA
Rfam family: Bacterial small subunit ribosomal RNA
Source: RNAcentral